Non-coding RNA from Spinacia oleracea (spinach), 90 nucleotides. The record is from Rfam. NCBI's taxonomy places the organism in Eukaryota, Viridiplantae, Streptophyta, Magnoliopsida, Caryophyllales, Amaranthaceae.
GAGCUGUGAUGAAAACUGCACAUUGUUGUGGCACUGGGUUCGCCACCACCAUCAGAACUACCUGAAGAAUUUAAGCGUGCAUCUGAGCCU